RNAcentral lists this long non-coding RNA (213 nucleotides) under Elaeis guineensis (African oil palm). RNAcentral describes it as "long non-coding RNA (EGUI_LNC072665)". Lineage: Eukaryota; Viridiplantae; Streptophyta; Magnoliopsida; Arecales; Arecaceae. The record is from RNAcentral.
GUACUCAAAUCAGACAAGAGCUCCAUCAGUGAAGAUAUGUGUGGCAUGAUAGAAAGAUCUGAGGAAGGAUCAGAGAAAGUACUCAGUGGAGUCUGGCGAUACUGUUGCUGCUGCUGCUGCUACACCAACUGGAGGAUCUACUGCUGAAACUGGUGAGACUGCUAAAGAAGCUAUUCCUGAAAUCAUUGCUAUUGAAUAGAUAGAAUCUGCACC